Molecule: non-coding RNA, 682 nt
Filed under: Pingus sinensis
Lineage: Eukaryota; Metazoa; Nematoda; Chromadorea; Rhabditida; Quimperiidae
Source: RNAcentral
GAUCAAGUUUGAUAAUAGCUUAGGAAAAAGUAAGAUGGUGUUAUCUAAGAUUGAAUCACGGAGUAGGCAAUAUUUUUUUACCUCGGCACUCUGACGUUCGUACAUUCUUUGUUCCAGAAUAAUCGGCUAGACUUAGUGAACUUGUACUUUAAAUGAGGUUGUCUGAUUAUUUGUGCUGGGUGUUUUUUAGGUUCCCGGUGAAAUGAGGACUUAAUCCAGAUUUUUCAUUUUCAGAAUUAAGAUUUGUUAAACAAAGUGGAUUAGUACCCACGUAGUCAAAAUUUAAAAGAGCUGAAGUAAAGUUGUAUUUAAACGGAAAGAAUAUUGGCAGGCCCUUGAAUUAUCUUUGGAGGUUGAGUAGUAAUUGAGAGCCCUCAUUUUCAACCUGGGCUUUAGGUGCAUGUAUGAUCGUUUGUUUGAUUACUAAAGAUUGUAACUUAGUUUUUUUGCUGUUAAAACAGAUAAAUACCUGGUAUAUGCUCAGGUAUUAAUUUGACCUACAGUAUAUUAUUUUGUGGAUCUAGAUUAGAGAUAUUUUAGUGAAAGUGUAAAAGACAGUAAAAAUUUUUUAAUGUAAUUUUGAAGAUUAUCCGAGGGCGGUACAAAUCAUCCAUCAAUUGCCCAAAGGGGAGUAAGUUGUAGUAUAGUAGGUUUAGGGGAACCUGUGCCUAAGGUUUGAAAA